This 380-nucleotide ribosomal RNA is filed under the name uncultured eukaryote. RNAcentral's name for it is "partial 18S ribosomal RNA". It matches the Rfam family "Eukaryotic small subunit ribosomal RNA", at positions 592 to 976 of the family's 1831-position model. The record is from RNAcentral.
CAAUAGCGUAUAUUAAAGUUGUUGCGGUUAAAAAGCUCGUAGUUGGAUUUCUGCCGAGGACGACCGGUCCGCCCUCUGGGUGAGUAUCUGGCUCGGCCUGGGCAUCUUCUUGGAGAACGUAACUGCACUUGACUGUGUGGUGCGGUAUCCAGGACUUUUACUUUGAGGAAAUUAGAGUGUUUCAAGCAGGCACACGCCUUGAAUACAUUAGCAUGGAAUAAUAAUAUAGGACCUCGGUUCUAUUUUGUUGGUUUCUAGAGCUGAGGUAACGAUUAAUAGGGAUAGUUGGGGGCAUUCGUAUUUAACUGUCAGAGGUGAAAUUCUUGGAUUUGUUAAAGACGGACUACUGCGAGAGCAUUUGCCAAGGAUGUUUUCAUUGA